GUGUGGAAACGCAUGGAAGAGCAGGAAGAAACACGGACGAGCGGUGAUGAACUGCAACUGUGUGCGUGCAACAGCACCAAACGGCAUGUGACGACGUACAGUGUGUGGAUGUGUGUGUGUGAAAUUUUAGGCAGCGAAGAUGGAUCGAGGUUAUGUUUACAAAGUGAAAGAGAUUGAUGCAGAAGCGUCUUUGUGAUAAAAUGUAUUUUAGUUUCAUAUUUUCAGUGUUAAAGUUUGUAAUGUGAACUUAAAAGUAAUGAACAAUGGUGCUAUUCUCUUGUGUGCUGUUGGCGAAUAUUGAAGCGUUGAAAUAUUGAAGCUUCAUAUGUUAGUUUGUUGUGCUUAAUGUGAAGCAAAAAUAUGUGCUUAAGUGUUAUAAAUUAGAAAUAUUUAAACGUAUCCGUCUAAUGUUCAGUUGUACCCAUCUAAUUUUCAAUAUUUUUGGGUGUCCUUAUCGUUUACCAGGAGAAACAGAUUGGAGGUUAGAUACGUGCAGCUAUUUCGCCUCCACAGUGUUCUUCAGUUGUGUUUCAAGCUGUCCGAAGGCACACAAAUCCGAUUCACCUCGUAUGCACGCAGCGGAUUUCAUGCGAAGGAUAUUGGAAAGCCAUCAAAGUGGGCAUGAUGGUAAGGAAACUUUGAUUCUUUUUACUUUUAGAUUUCUUAUCCUUAUUUUUGUUUACAACAACCUUGGAUCGUCGGCGCCGGCCUUAUGGAAACUGCGCGGUCAGAGCAACAACCGGAAGCAUUUCGUUCCAGGUGGAAAUUAUCUCAAGUUUGGGAAUUGAAGAGAGUUACGGCACACUGUGAACAUCGUUGUAAACAAUUGAUGCUACACCGUGCAAGAAAAUUCCUAUCAAACAACACGUCUAAAGCCUCAUGCAUCCUGUUGUUGGCAUCCUGGCUGCUGAUAUCUGCAUCUAUCCUUUGAGUAUAACUGCAAAAUGCAAAAUCAUCUUCAGCUAUUUUUGCUUCAAAAGCAUCAAACUGUUGUUCAUUUCCGAUUUUUUCCAUGGCUAAACUCUGCGCAUUUCUUCUUAUACCCUUCAUAGGAUUCAGUAUUGUGGACUGCUCAUUUAAAAUCACCAAUAUCUGAGCGCUGCGUGCAUCAAUUUUCAUUAACAUCAUCCGACAAAGAGGGCAGCAGCUUCCAGAAUGCUCUGUUGAAGUAAUUGAAAGGACUGUUUGCUUUGCUCCUGCUGCAGUCUGGUGUUCAUCGUCGGUGAUCAUCAUUAUUGGCGACGAAGGCAGCACAGGCAAAUUUUUCACAACACUACCAGUUGCUCGUUCAGUCUUUAUGUUCGAUGUACCGGUGCUUGUCGAUGGCUCUUGGUUUCCACCAUCAACUAUCUUGCCUGGCGGUCGGAUCUGGCUAGGAACACCGGUAAAAGAUUGCUCAGAUAUAGCAGUACUCGUUGAUGGUUUUUGAACAUUAACGCUGAUCAUUUUGGCUGGUGUACGGCUCACAACACAAACAGAUCCUCCAGCAGCCGCUAUCACCGAUGCAGAAGCACUGGUGGGUAAUUGUUGUCUUACAACAGUGGUCUUCAUACCACGCUGGUUCUUCGGAGCAUGAACUUCGGCAAACGAUCCAAUCGAUGGUACUGCAGAUCCCGUCAAUGCCUGUUGUCUACCGAUCUUCAUGGCUGAUUGCUGCGGUAGAGCAUCAGCAACCGGUACCAAUGAUGGCGCAGCAGUACUAGUUGACGGUUGCUGUCCAUGUUGCUGGCCUAACGGACGGAAUGGUGCAGCAACACCAGGUAAUGUUGACCGAUGAUGAUUACCAUCACCGGCACUCGAGACCAGCGCUGACACUGCAUCCGUUACCUUCACCUGUUCAACAACACGAACUGGCAUUCUUUGUUGACUGAGCCGUGCGCGCUGACCGGCCACUGAAACCACCGAAGGCACUGCACUUGUUGUCGUGAGUUGUCCAACAACACGGACCGGCAAGCCGGGAGGACGAAUGGCACUAGGAACGGCAACCGAAAUCACCGUCGGCACUGCACUUGUCGUCGGAAGUUGUCCAACAACACGGACCGGCAAGCCGGGAGGACGGAUGGCACGAGGAAUGGCAACCGAAACCACCGAUGGCACUGCACUUGUCGUCGGAAGUUGUCCAACAACACGGACCGGCAAGCCGGGAGGACGAAUGGCACGAGGAACGGCAACCGGAACCACCGAUGGCACUGCACUUGUCGUCGGAAGUUGUCCAACAACACGGACUGGCACAUCUGAAUGACGAAACGACUGCACACCCGCAAUGGCCGAAGGCAUCACUUGUAGAGGAAGUGGUACUUGAGACUCUUCCACAACUUCUUCCUCCAAACGAAGACACGUUAGUUUAUCUUGCGUCGACAUGGUGUAACUUUUGCAAAAUGUACGAAAUUGCACUAAUAUUUUCAAAUUUACACAAAAGACACUUUUAGACACUUUUUCACGAGGCACUGACACGAUGUAUUAACUUUGGAGUCUGAAGUUGAACUAAAAUUGUUUAGCAAAGUGUUAGCCCUUUUAUACUGCAUUUCGAGCAGACUUAUGAAUGAGUGGGAGGAGUUAAAGGACUUGUGGAAGAAGGAAUAGGAUAUGGUGUAAUGUCGAAUAUUGUGCCUGUUGCUUGUGCUACCGAAUGUCGCCAAGCUCACGUACCCGCGUUUUAUGUACCUUUUCUUGGUGUUUUCGAGUUACUCGCCACCAACAUGCAUAUCGGCUGGAACUUGGACCCAUGCUAAAUUGAAGCAAAGUUAAAGUAAGUCUGACCUAAGUCAGUCCGAGUAAGUCAGUAGCUAAAGUAAUAUAAAGACAGUAUGAUAAACUGGCGUCGUGUAUCAGAUCGCAACUGCUAAUAAUUUCGUCGUCUGAGGCGGACUGUUAUGGAGGUACCAAAUCUUCAGUGAUGAUGAAUGCGUUCACGAAUCUACGAGCCGGUGAUUGGCGGUAUCCAGAUCAUCGUCGUACUGUUAGCUUACCUAAGCUACCAAAAUUAGUGACAGUGUAAAAUUUGUGCUGUGAAGAUUACAGCUGGCUCUCACAACCGUCCGGAAGUCGCAGUAAUUUGGUAACAUAAAGAUCAUCACCACCGCACGAAGCGCAGCAUAUUGAAGCAAGCCCAAGCGGACAGCAACCACCUGCAGCAAACGUACGCCGAACGAAUGGACGUGGUAGACGCGUUAUGAUUCCAAGGCGAUAUUUGCGCUCUGAAAAUGCUAGCACAGAUGUUUGAGCCACAGAGGUGACGUUCCGAGAGUGUAAAAACUUGCCGGGCCCACAGUUUCAGAUAAGCCGUUCUCCUCAAUGCCAUAUCAUGUACGGUCGGUUAGUUACACUUCAUAACGAAGGACAAUCACAUCUGGUUAACGGAAUGCUGCCAAAACGAUGAAGCUGGCUUAGCCCUCGAUGACGACGCAACUCCUGCACGUUCGUCGUCAUACUAUCAUUUCAACUGGAGGCAUGUUUGUUUUAGGCGGCUACAACAUGUUGUUUGAACAUGUUGAAUAGAACAAACAUGUUGAUAAUGGUGAAUGCUGGAACUCCGUGAUACCCGUUUUCGUGCGCUGAAUAAGGUUUGUAUGAAAAAUAGUGUAUUUUUAGAAUAUUUUAUUUUUCAAUAAAGUAACGGUAAAUUUGAAA
Anopheles gambiae (African malaria mosquito) is the source of this 3630-nucleotide long non-coding RNA. RefSeq lists it as uncharacterized. Lineage: Eukaryota; Metazoa; Arthropoda; Insecta; Diptera; Culicidae. The transcript has 8 exons. The record is from RefSeq and is a predicted model, not a curated record.